RNAcentral lists this ribosomal RNA (501 nucleotides) under uncultured bacterium. RNAcentral describes it as "partial 16S ribosomal RNA". It matches the Rfam family "Bacterial small subunit ribosomal RNA", at positions 30 to 523 of the family's 1533-position model. The record is from RNAcentral.
AUUGAACGCUGGCGGCAGGCUUAACACAUGCAAGUCGAGCGGGCGAGGUUGCUUCGGUAACUGAGCUAGCGGCGGACGGGUGAGUAAAGCUUAGGAAUCUGCCUAUUAGUGGGGGACAACAUUCCGAAAGGGAUGCUAAUACCGCAUACGUCCUACGGGAGAAAGCAGGGGCUCUUUAUGACCUUGCGCUAAUAGAUGAGCCUAAGUCGGAUAGCUAGUUGGUGGGGUAAAGGCCUACCAAGGCGACGAUCUGUAGCGGGUCUGAGAGGAUGAUCCGCCACACUGGGACUGAGACACGGCCCAGACUCCUACGGGAGGCAGCAGUGGGGAAUAUUGGACAAUGGGGGGAACCCUGAUCCAGCCAUGCCGCGUGUGUGAAGAAGGCCUUUUGGUUGUAAAGCACUUUAAGUGGGGAGGAGGCUUACCUGGUUAAUACCUGGGCUAAGUGGAUGUUACCCACAGAAUAAGCACCGGCUAACUCUGUGCCAGCCGCCGCCGUAA